AACAAGGUCUCCGUAGGUGAACCUGCGGAGGGAUCAUUA
This 39-nucleotide ribosomal RNA is filed under the name Curvularia lunata. Its description in RNAcentral is "partial small subunit ribosomal RNA". RNAcentral also lists the same sequence under 35 other names. Lineage: Eukaryota; Fungi; Ascomycota; Dothideomycetes; Pleosporales; Pleosporaceae. The record is from RNAcentral.